AAAAUAUACCUAUCAAUCUAGAGCAUAAUAUAUAAAAACAAACCUUAGUACGGCUUCAGAGUCGUUGCAAUUAAGGUGUUUUGGUAAACUGAAUAAAUAUUCAGUUUUCAGUGGUCGUGUUUUAACGAUGAAGUUCUACAUUUUGGCGUUUGUCCUGGCAGUUGCUGAUGCCGGUUUAAUUUUUGGUGACACAAACUGUGUGAUCAUUCACAAUGUGAACUUCGAAAAAGAAAUCCUCAAAAGUGAUGUUCAGAGUCCAUACCAACUUGCUAUCGAUCAUGAUACCAAUACUUUGUUCUUCAGCUACACUGCGAGGACUGACGAAAUGUUCAAAAUUGCUUACCUGAGUCUGAAGACUGGUGAUUUUGGUAUCGUUUCUGGUAUCCACGGGGGCUUUGCAACCGCAAUAGAUAGAAUGAGUCACGUUAUUUAUAUGGGAGGUGAUGAUGGCAUAUAUAGAUUUGAUUACGAUAACAAGGAUGCCACUAAUCUGCAUAUCAACGAAAACUCAAACAUAUGGCAAAUGUUCUACAAAAAUGCUCUGUAUUUCACUACAUACCCCGAAGAGAAGGCAUACGUUUACAAAUCAAAGAAACUCUACGAAAUUGCUGAUUUACUGAACGUCAAAGUGAUGCUGAUUGCUGUGAAUAGACAGGACAAUUUGGUGUAUACUAAUUCUUCUGGAGUGUUUUUGUAUAGCAAAACUGAUGGAAGCACUAUCCAGCUUAACAAUGGAGUUGCCAAUGGAAUCACAGCUGAUAUUGAAGGUAACUUAUACUUCUCAACUGCGAGCGCUAUCUAUUCAAUCGAUGACAAAACAAAUGCUGUUGAAAGAUUAGCUCGACUGGAAAAUACUUACGGCAUGGCUAUAGAUAACGCUGGAAACAUUAUUUAUGCAACGGAAGAUAGUAUAAUCAGACUCAAACCUUCCAGGAAAGUGUGUAUUGAUGAUAAAUUGUUUUCGAAAAGUGUAGAUGAAGUAUCCGCCAGCUUUCACACUUAGAAACAAUUAAUUUGUAAUGAAAUCUUUGUUAUAACUUUUGUUUAUUCCUUUGUUAGCUUCAUACAUGCAAUUUAUUAUAAUGUAACUAAAUAACUUUAAAUAUUGAAACGUCAAAAGUGAGUUAGCACUAUUAAUGUUUUGCCUACUUUAAGAGAACUUGACUAAAAUGCUUGUUUCUAAUAUUAAGACAUCAAUUCCUAACGAAUGUACAAAAUUAUAAGACUCGUCUGUAAAAUAAAUUUUGUUACAAAAAG
Molecule: RNA transcript, 1257 nt
Organism: Helicoverpa armigera (cotton bollworm)
Lineage: Eukaryota; Metazoa; Arthropoda; Insecta; Lepidoptera; Noctuidae
Exons: 2
Source: RefSeq, a predicted model, not a curated record